CAGGGCUCAUGCUGGUCUGGCGUGGACCUGAGAGCCCGGGAACAAUGAAGGGUGGUCGGUACAGAGUUCCCACUGUGAUGCAGCAGGUUCAUGAUCCCGUUGUCUCUGCAGAGGCACCCAUUCGAUCCCUGGCCCCGUGCAGUGCAGUGGGUUCAGGAUCCAAGUUGACGCAGUUGUGGCGUAGUUCACAGAUUUGGCUGGGAUUCUGUCCCUGGCCUGGGAAUUUCCAUAAGCCGUGGGUGUGGCAGAAAAAGGAAAAAAAAAAAAAAGGAAAUAAAAAGAGAAAAAAAAAGUGAUUGCCUCAAUAGACUGAGCACCAGCUGCCUGGUCAAGGUCACCUCAUGCCCGCAUCAGCCCUUGCUGGGCAUGUUAGUGUCGCGUCUGUUACGAGAGGAACACUGCACGAAGGGGUGAGUGGCAGGCCUGGUGUCCUGCAGGGGCAGGUGGCCAAGCUGGGAUGUGAACACAGUCCGCCUGGCUCUGAGUCCUUGUGUCCUCUGCCCAAGAUCACAGGCAGGAACUCCCAGAGGGCUGCAGCGUCCGCUUGGCAGUCUGAGUCCACUUGUCGGAACAGCGAGGGACGGUCAGCGCCCCUCCAGUUCAGCUGUGAACCAAAUGACCAGGGCGACCUGGACAGGAGCCCUGCCCACGCUGCUCACCCCGUCUAAACUAACCUAGGGUGCAACCUCCCUCAUGAAGGCUUUCCUUCCCACCACCAAGAUGCAAGAUGCCACGCCUGGACCAGCUCAAAAUACCCAGUGAGGAGGCUGGCUGGAGAGUCUUCCCUGAGGGCUGGUGUCACCUCACAGCUGGACCUGGGGGGCAAAGAGGGACACAGGGGUGAGAACCAGAACCCUGAGGACCAGCCCUGCCCCGCCCUUCCCUGACCCCCGGAUCCCAUCAUCUCUAAGUGUGCUGGUCAGACCCCUGCAGAGUCUCUGAGUAUUCCGGAGAACCCCCGGAGCUCGCGGAGCGAGGCUGCUGGCUGGCAUGCAGAGACCCGCUCUCCACAAAUCUCCGUGGGCUCUGACGGUGGGCUUUUCUGUCCCUCGGCCCUCAUAUGGCCCAUUUUGCAGACGGGCACACUGAGGAGAGAACGGGCCUGCCUGGGUCCCAGCGGGGGGGCAGCAUCGCAGCCCUGGGGUGGCCCGGAGGGCCGGUGCCAGGCGGCGAGAACGUCAGGACCUGGAAGGAAACAUCGAUACCCCCUAGGCACCCACGGCCAAUUAGCUGAGGAGGAGGAGGCUGUUGCAACGGCUCAGAUUUUGAAAUUUGACCGUGACAACCACCCUGGCGAACUUGAUUCACCCACAGGUUGGGAGCCUCAUCUUCAGAGCCUGCCUCCCUCCCCGCAGGGGGAAAUGGGACCCGCUCCCUCACCACCUGUGCCUCCCCACUCUGUGAAAUUGGGUGUGUCCUCCCUUUGGGGGGUGUGACAGGUUGAAUCGUGUCCUAAAUGCUUGUGUCCAAGCCCUGAGCCCCAGGACCUCAGCGGGACCUCUUUUGGAGAUGGGGCCUUUCCAGAGGCCAUCCACUUAGAGUGGUUGCAGUGACCCUCAUCCAAUGUGACUGACAUGCUCAGGGCUCAGAGGGGCCCACUGCACCGGGAGACCGCCUGGAACAAUUCUCCCUCGACGCCUGGACCUCAGACCUCCGCCUGCAGAGCCA
This 1668-nucleotide long non-coding RNA is filed under the name Sus scrofa (pig). RNAcentral describes it as "lncRNA (ENSSSCG00030002503.1)". The record is from RNAcentral. Lineage: Eukaryota; Metazoa; Chordata; Mammalia; Artiodactyla; Suidae.